Molecule: ribosomal RNA, 449 nt
Filed under: uncultured Planctomycetales bacterium
Lineage: Bacteria; Pseudomonadati; Planctomycetota; Planctomycetia; Planctomycetales
Description: bacterial SSU rRNA
Rfam family: Bacterial small subunit ribosomal RNA
Source: RNAcentral
AGCGGUGGAGCAUGUGGAUUAAUUCGAAGCAACGCGAAGAACCUUACCUGGGUUUGACAUGUUUGGAUGCCUAUCUAGAAACAGAUUUUGGCUGCCCUUCGGGGUGAAACUUACACAGGUGCUGCAUGGCUGUCGUCAGUUCGUGUCGUGAGACGUCGGGUUAAGUCCUUCAACGAGCGAAACCCUUGCCGUUAGUUACCAGCGAGUAAUGUCGGGGACUCUAACGGGACUGCCGGUGUUAAACCGGAGGAAGGCGGGGACGACGUCAAGUCAUCAUGGCCUUUAUGCCCAGGGCUUCACACGUGCUACAAUGGCGGUUACAGAGGGAAGCGAUAUCGCGAGAUGGAGCAAAUCUCUUAAAGGCCGUCCCAGUACGGAUCGCAGGCUGUCAACUCGGCUGCGUGAAGGUGGAAUCGCUAGUAAUCGCGUAUCAGCAAUGACGCGGUGAA